AACGAACGCUGGCGGCAUGCCUAACACAUGCAAGUCGAACGAGACCUUCGGGUCUAGUGGCGCACGGGUGCGUAACGCGUGGGAAUCUGCCCUUAGGUUCGGAAUAACUCAGGGAAACUUGAGCUAAUACCGGAUAAUGACGUAAGUCCAAAGAUUUAUCGCCUAGGGAUGAGCCCGCGUAGGAUUAGCUAGUUGGUGGGGUAAAGCCUACCAAGGCGACGAUCCUUAGCUGGUCUGAGAGGAUGAUCAGCCACACUGGGACUGAGACACGGCCCAGACUCCUACGGGAGGCAGCAGUGGGGAAUAUUGGACAAUGGGCGAAAGCCUGAUCCAGCAAUGCCGCGUGAGUGAUGAAGGCCUUAGGGUUGUAAAGCUCUUUUACCCGGGAUGAUAAUGACAGUACCGGGAGAAUAAGCUCCGGCUAACUCCGUGCCAGCCGCCGCAGUAAU
This 449-nucleotide ribosomal RNA is filed under the name uncultured bacterium. RNAcentral's name for it is "bacterial SSU rRNA". It matches the Rfam family "Bacterial small subunit ribosomal RNA", at positions 29 to 524 of the family's 1533-position model. The record is from RNAcentral.